UUGAAAACAAACUUUUCAUUUUUUAAAAUUAUUCUUUACAUAAUGUACUUUGAAUGUUUUUUUUUUGUCAGGGAAAACAGUGGGGACUCGGAACAGAUUAGGCUAUUUACAUGUAAAAUGUGUUUCUACUUGCGAAAAAUUCACAUUACAAAACGACUUCCGGAAUGAAUGAAUUUUGUAAGUAGAGGUACUACUGUUUUUCUGAAAAGUUUGAAGCCAUAAUGCGGUUCACAAAUGAGCUAACAGUAAGCCUGGCUUCUUGUUUUUCUUGAGUCGGAAUGCUCUGUGGAACAUUCUUGUACAACACGUUUGGUCAUACGCAGUGUCCUGUGUUGUUUAUUUAGUGUACACCACAGACACUUUGAAAGCUCACACUUGUUGAAUUCUUCCUUGUUUUAUGUAUCAAAACCCAGUUCAGAUGUUUACAAAUCCCUGUCUGCACGCCAUAGUCUUUCAUUAACCUUCAGUAACACUGAGACUAAUGUCACAAUUUAGACUAUUUAUUUGUUGGAAAAACAUUUCUAAGCUAUGAACACGAAGCAAAUAGGGGCAAAAAAGAAAGUAAGGGGCAAUUACAGAGUUCCUCAUUGGGGCGCCCGCCGUUCAUAAUCCCGUCAGUCUGUCGUAAAACGGAGGAAUUGAGUGGCGCAGAUUUUUCAUGCAGACGACGUGGCAGGGAGGUGCUGUGGAGCAGCUUUACAGCUUAAACCACAACAACACAGAAACAGCUCAUCACGGAAGAGCCUAAUACCUAGCUUGAGUACUUUAUUUGCCGAUGACUUUGGGAGUCAUUUUAAAAUAAUUAUUGUGACACCAGAUAAUAUGGAAUGGCUGUGGAAUGUAUCGGUCGAGUUCGGUCGAUUAACUACAGGACACGAUUGUUAAGGCACAUGAACGAAUACUACGACUCUAAACGCCUUUGUUAAUCGUGUUAAGUGUCUUUAAGAAACACGUGAACGCUUGUUAGGGGCAGAUUUGAAAACGUCAAUGCCCCGCGAAAGGACGUGACGUCUUGUCCAGCAAAUAGACGGCGCCCAGACACAGCUACGCGUGCGACGGAAACAACGAACACACACCGCAUGCAGUCGCAGGUGAAGUAUAUAAUGCCUUACGGUACUGCGGUUUCCUCCCACAUCCCGAAAACAUGCAAGAACCCAAGUGUGGUGCAAGGAAUAUAUGACUGAAGAUUGUCCUUUAGCAUUUUCUACUUAAGCGCAGGAGUCAUGGUUCCACCAAUCCCAGCAAGUCAUCCAGGUCCUGAAGUGGUUAAGCAGCCCCAGAGCACCACCACCAUCCAACCUGCAGCUGAACCUCCUGAUAUCCACUCAUCCAUCAUAUAUCAUCAAAGGCACUCAUCCAUCAUACUUCAUCAAAGGACCACUGCGGUAGACACGCCGGCUUCACGGUGAAUAAUCUCUUGUCAACAUGCCUUCCAAGUAACAAACAGCCUUGAAAUUCCGGCACUUUGCAUGGUGGAGCCUUGACUAGACGAGCAACACCAGAAAGGGAGGGACUACAGUGUGAAAAAAAACAAGCUUUUUGCAGGUGUCCUACAGCUCGAUGACUUCAGGUGGGGCACCUAACUCCCAGGGGUGGGGGGUUGAUGUUCUUUAGGUGCUUUCCGUGAAACAGAUGGUGAAGCGCAGACAAUGAGUGGAUGAGAUAGACAAGCCAGGUAGAGAUGGAGGAGGAGGAGCUGUGAGAGGUUAGCCUUCCCCCUCUCACCUCUGAAAACCAACUGGCAGGGCGGUGGGGGUAGGGCUGAAUUGGAUACAUUUCCUUUUUCUUUUUUUAUUUUCACUGGUAGUGUUUGUGAAGACACUGAUCAAGUUCAUAAAUUCUCCCAAAAAUGAUAAUGAUUUAUCAAGGUGGCGGCACGGUGGUGCAGCUGGAAAGCAUUGGCCUUACACUUCUGAGGACCAGGGUUCAAUCCCGGCCCCCCAUGUGUGCAGUUUGCAUGUUCUCCCCGUACCUGCGUGGGUUUCCUCCGGGCACUCUGGUUUCCUCCCACAUCCCAAAAAGAUGUAACAUUAAUUGGACACUCCAAAUUGCCCCCAGGUGUGAUUUGGAUUGCGGCUGUUUGUCCCUAUGUGACCUGCGAUUGGCUGGCAACCGAUUUGGGGUGUACCGUGCCUCCUGCCCGUUGACAGCUGCGAUAGCCUCGAGCACUCCCGUGACCUUUGUGAGGAUAAAAA
Long non-coding RNA from Syngnathoides biaculeatus (alligator pipefish), 2195 nucleotides. RefSeq lists it as uncharacterized. The transcript is spliced from 6 exons. The record is from RefSeq and is a predicted model, not a curated record. Lineage: Eukaryota; Metazoa; Chordata; Actinopteri; Syngnathiformes; Syngnathidae.